CCUACGGGGGGCUGCAGUAGGGAAUAUUGGUCAAUGGAUGCAAGUCUGAACCAGCCAUGCCGCGUGCAGGAAGAAGGCCUUCUGGGUUGUAAACUGCUUUUGUCAGGGGAUAAAAUGAGCGUGCGCGCUUAAUUGAAGGUACCUGGCGAAUAAGCCACGGCUAACUACGUGCCAGCAGCCGCGGUAAUACGUAGGUGGCAAGCGUUGUCCGGAUUUAUUGGGUUUAAAGGGUGCGUAGGCGGUUAUAUAAGUCAGUGCUGAAAUAUCCCAGCUUA
RNAcentral lists this ribosomal RNA (275 nucleotides) under uncultured Ohtaekwangia sp. RNAcentral's name for it is "partial 16S ribosomal RNA". It matches the Rfam family "Bacterial small subunit ribosomal RNA", at positions 338 to 611 of the family's 1533-position model. Lineage: Bacteria; Pseudomonadati; Bacteroidota; Cytophagia; Cytophagales; Fulvivirgaceae. The record is from RNAcentral.